CUGGCUCAGAUUGAACGCUGGCGGCAUGCCUUACACAUGCAAGUCGAACGGCAGCACGGGUGCUUGCACCUGGUGGCGAGUGGCGAACGGGUGAGUAAUACAUCGGAACAUGUCCUGUAGUGGGGGAUAGCCCGGCGAAAGCCGGAUUAAUACCGCAUACGAUCUACGGAUGAAAGCGGGGGACCUUCGGGCCUCGCGCUAUAGGGUUGGCCGAUGGCUGAUUAGCUAGUUGGUGGGGUAAAGGCCCACCAAGGCGACGAUCAGUAGCUGGUCUGAGAGGACGACCAGCCACACUGGGACUGAGACACGGCCCAGACUCCUACGGGAGGCAGCAGUGGGGAAUUUUGGACAAUGGGCGAAAGCCUGAUCCAGCAAUGCCGCGUGUGUGAAGAAGGCCUUCGGGUUGUAAAGCACUUUUGUCCGGAAAGAAAUCCUGAGGGCUAAUAUCCUUCGGGGAUGACGGUACCGGAAGAAUAAGCACCGGCUAACUACGUGCCAGCAGCCGCGGUAAUACGUAGGGUGCGAGCGUUAAUCGGAAUUACUGGGCGUAAAGCGUGCGCAGGCGGUUUGUUAAGACCGAUGUGAAAUCCCCGGGCUCAACCUGGGAACUGCAUUGGUGACUGGCAAGCUAGAGUAUGGCAGAGGGGGGUAGAAUUCCACGUGUAGCAGUGAAAUGCGUAGAGAUGUGGAGGAAUACCGAUGGCGAAGGCAGCCCCCUGGGCCAAUACUGACGCUCAUGCACGAAAGCGUGGGGAGCAAACAGGAUUAGAUACCCUG
RNAcentral lists this ribosomal RNA (777 nucleotides) under Burkholderia gladioli. Its description in RNAcentral is "bacterial SSU rRNA". It matches the Rfam family "Bacterial small subunit ribosomal RNA", at positions 19 to 789 of the family's 1533-position model. Lineage: Bacteria; Pseudomonadati; Pseudomonadota; Betaproteobacteria; Burkholderiales; Burkholderiaceae. The record is from RNAcentral.